GGAGAGAUAGCAAAGAGGCUAAACGCGGCGGACUGUAAAUCCGCUCCUUCGGGUUCGGGGGUUCGAAUCCCUCUCUCUCCA
This 81-nucleotide transfer RNA is filed under the name Streptococcus pneumoniae. RNAcentral's name for it is "tRNA-Tyr". It matches the Rfam family "tRNA". Rfam says of the family: Transfer RNA (tRNA) molecules are approximately 80 nucleotides in length. Their secondary structure includes four short double-helical elements and three loops (D, anti-codon, and T loops). RNAcentral also lists the same sequence under 1 other name. The record is from RNAcentral. Lineage: Bacteria; Bacillati; Bacillota; Bacilli; Lactobacillales; Streptococcaceae.